CCUACGGGGGGCUGCAGUGAGGAAUAUUGGUCAAUGGACGAGAGUCUGAACCAGCCAAGUAGCGUGAAGGAUGACUGCCCUAUGGGUUGUAAACCUCUUUUAUAGGGGAAUAAAAUGUGCCACGUGUGGGAUGUUGUAUGGACCAUAUGAAUAAGGAUCGGCUACCUCCGUGCCAGCAGCCGCGGUAAUACGGAGGAACCGAGCGUUAUCCGGAUUUAUUGGGGUUAAAGGGAGCGUAGGUGGAUUGUUAAGGCAGUUGUGCAAGUUUGCGGCUCCACCGUAAAAUUGCAGUUGAAACUGGCAGUCUUGAGUACAGUAGAGGUGGGCGGAAUUCGUGGUGUAGCUGUGAAAUGCUUAGAUAUCACGCAGAACUCCGAUUGCGAAGGCAGUUCACUGGACUGCAACUGACACUGAGGCUCGAAAGUGUGGGUAUCAAACAGGAUUAGAUACCCCUGUAGUC
This 460-nucleotide ribosomal RNA is filed under the name uncultured bacterium. Its description in RNAcentral is "partial 16S ribosomal RNA". It matches the Rfam family "Bacterial small subunit ribosomal RNA", at positions 338 to 795 of the family's 1533-position model. The record is from RNAcentral.